UCAUCAUGCCCUAUAUGCCCUGGCUACACACGUGCUACAAUGGAAGAUACAAAGGGAAGCGAAAUAGUGAUAUUAAGCAAACCUCAAAAAGUCUUUCCCAGUUCGGAUUGUACUCUGCAACUCGAGUACAUGAAGAUGGAGUUGCUAGUAAUCGCAGAUCAGAAUGCUGCGGUGAAUGCGUUCCCGGGUCUUGUACACACCGCCCGUCACACCAUGGAAGCUUGUAAUACCCGAAGCCUGCGAGCAAACCUUAGGGAAGCAGCAGUCGAAGGUAGGAUAGGUGACUGGGGUGAAGUCGUAACAAGGUAGCCGUAUCGGAA
RNAcentral lists this ribosomal RNA (320 nucleotides) under uncultured bacterium. RNAcentral describes it as "bacterial SSU rRNA". It matches the Rfam family "Bacterial small subunit ribosomal RNA", at positions 1190 to 1510 of the family's 1533-position model. The record is from RNAcentral.